Molecule: transfer RNA, 73 nt
Filed under: Candidatus Schekmanbacteria bacterium
Lineage: Bacteria; Candidatus Schekmaniibacteriota
Description: tRNA-His
Rfam family: tRNA
About the family: Transfer RNA (tRNA) molecules are approximately 80 nucleotides in length. Their secondary structure includes four short double-helical elements and three loops (D, anti-codon, and T loops). Further hydrogen bonds mediate the characteristic L-shaped molecular structure. tRNAs have two regions of fundamental functional importance: the anti-codon, which is responsible for specific mRNA codon recognition, and the 3' end, to which the tRNAs corresponding amino acid is attached (by aminoacyl-tRNA synthetases). tRNAs cope with the degeneracy of the genetic code in two manners: having more than one tRNA (with a specific anti-codon) for a particular amino acid; and 'wobble' base-pairing, i.e. permitting non-standard base-pairing at the 3rd anti-codon position.
Source: RNAcentral
GUGGGCGUAGCUCAGUUGGCAGAGCACUGGACUGUGGCUCCAGUCGUCGAGGGUUCGAGCCCCUUCGCCCACC